CCUACGGGAGGCAGCAGUGAGGAAUAUUGGUCAAUGGGCGCGAGCCUGAACCAGCCAAGUCGCGUGAGGGAAGACGGUCCUAUGGAUUGUAAACCUCUUUUGUCGGGGAGCAAAAGACGCCACGCGUGGCGUUCCGAGAGUACCCGAAGAAAAAGCAUCGGCUAACUCCGUGCCAGCAGCCGCGGUAAUACGGAGGAUGCGGGCGUUAUCCGGAUUUAUUGGGUUUAAGGGGUGCGCAGGCGGAGGAUCAAGUCAGCGGGAAAAUUGAGAGGCUCAACCUCUUCGAGCCGGUGAAACUGGUUUUCUUGAGUGAGUGAGAAGUAUGCGGAAUGCGUGGUGUAGCGGUGAAAUGCAUAGAUAUCACGCAGAACUCCGAUUGCGAAGGCAGCAUACCGGCGCUCAACUGACGCUGAUGCACGAAAGUGUGGGUAUCGAACAGGAUUAGAUACCCCAGUAGUC
This 459-nucleotide ribosomal RNA is filed under the name uncultured bacterium. Its description in RNAcentral is "partial 16S ribosomal RNA". It matches the Rfam family "Bacterial small subunit ribosomal RNA", at positions 338 to 795 of the family's 1533-position model. The record is from RNAcentral.